RNAcentral lists this unclassified non-coding RNA (3879 nucleotides) under Leishmania donovani. Its description in RNAcentral is "gene:LdHU3.31.2500(CDS-product:hypothetical_prote in_conserved)". Lineage: Eukaryota; Euglenozoa; Kinetoplastea; Trypanosomatida; Trypanosomatidae. The record is from RNAcentral.
ACCACUCGCCACAUACCCGCACCGCCACCACCGGGCGGCCCUCUCUGCAAUCCGUCUCUCGCUCUCAGACUUCGUCGCAGUGCCUCUAUCAGCUCUUCUUUCUCACUGCUGUGAUUACACACGGCACAGCGAGACCCUCACUGUGUGCGCCCCUUCCCCUCCAGGCCUCUAGGUGCACCGUCUGCCUCCCUAUCCCCCUCCCUAUCCCCCUCUCUUCCCCCCGCCUUCGCGUUCCUCUUCGCACCGGCUCGCCCGCUGCGGCUCUCUUGUGUGACCGAGGCGCCCGACAACAGCAGAGGUACGCAGGCACGACUGAGGCGGCCGCUCUGAGGCAUCUGCGCCAUCGACACGCAGCAGCGGUCUGCGUUUCUGUCGCCUUCCUCUCGAGCAUAUCCCUCGCUUCGACAGCAUGACGCAGCUGCACCGUCGUGUGGCGCUGAUCGCCGUUCUCGCAGCGGCGGUGCUGUUGACGCUUGCCGCUCCCGUGGCGCGUGCCAGGGUGGCGAGCCCAUGGGAUGCGGUCGAGGACGACGGCCUUCAGGAGAGAGAGAUGGAUGCCGAUGAUGAGCCGUUCUUUAUAAGUGAGGCAGAGAGGUCGAACACGCUGAAGGUGAUGCGGGCGUUUGCUGCGGCGAUGCCCUCGCUGGGGUGGAGCGGAGCCGACUUCUGCACGUGGGCUGGCGUGAGGUGCUUCGAUACGAAUGUGAGCUUUAUCGCCACUGGUAGCUUGGCUACCGGCACGCUGCCUGAAAUGCCUGAUGACGUGGACUACUCGCUGGUGAAGCUCGAUCAGAUCAACCUCUUCGACCAGAACACCGGUAUCACUGGAACCCUGCCGAGCAGCUGGAGCAAGCUGCAUAAGGUUAGGACAGUCAACCUUGGAUACACGAGCAUCAGCAGCACGCUACCCGCGUCGUGGAGCUCGAUGAGCUCGCUGAGGUUCUUGACCCUGAGUUCCACGGAUGUAUUCGGCACGCUGCCGGCUGCCUGGAGCUCGAUGUCGGCGAUUGAGCAAAUCGUCAUUUCCAGGACUCAGAUCACCGGCACUCUUCCUGAGGAGUGGAGCACUAUGCCGAACGUUCGGAGGAUACACUUUCAACAGUGCAACCUGUACGGCUCCUUCCCCGCGUCCUGGGCACGGAUGCCGUCGCUUGAGCGCUUGGGCCUUCAGAAGAACAACUUCUGUGGCUGCGUACCGGACUCGUGGCUGACGUCACCAACGCUAUGGGUGGGCGUGGACGCCAAGCAUCGCAUGGCUGACUGUGCGACUGCCCACGCCUGCGCUGAGACCACAACGCCCGAGCCCGUCCCCAGCAGCUCCGGCUCGGCCGGCGAGGUGUCCGGGUCGUCGAGCUCGAGCACCGCCACGACCGCGGAGCCGACUACGAGCACAACGUCCCCCACGCCAUGCCCGACCCCGUGCCGCGUUCCGAACUGCAUGUCGUGCGCACCCGGCAACUCGAUGCGGUGCAGCGUGUGCUUCCCCGGAUACGUGCUGACAGCUGGCGGGUGGUGCAUGAGGCACACUGGUGAGGAUGCUGCUGUGUUUCCUGUGGGGACUGCUGCUGCCGCUGCUGUCUCCGCGACGGUGGUGGUGAUGGGCGCGGUGCUUGCGUAGGGUGAGGCUGUGGGCGUGAGCUGGCGGUGCAGUGCUCAGCGGCGCCUCUUCGUGCGCCUCGGCGCCUGUCUUGUGCAUUGCGACGUGUGUGCCUUCUGUUGCCGCCGGCGCCCACGGGGUGCCCUCGGUGUCCCCUGCGGUGCGAGGAGGCGAGAGGGUGCGCCUGCAGGAGACUGCCGGGCGUCACCACGCAUGCGAGUCCCGCCCUCCCCUCUGUCGCCCUCGUGUCCCGCAGCAGACUCUCGCCUGCCGACACGCGACUGCCUCGUGCGCUUCUCCGCACUGGUCUCGCUGGCCUUGUCACCGCUUGCUCGCUGCUGUGGCUGCGUGGCCGCUGCUCUCUCCUCACCCUGCUUCUUCCGUUUUGGCGCCUUGCGGCUGUGCGGGCUUUGCGCCCUGCUGGUCCUCUUUCCUGACUGACGUCUGUCUGAUGCUUCGGGGGCGGGUCGUUUCCGGUUGCGUGCCGUGCGUGCGGUGGGCCGGCGCUCUUUUUGUGGUGCGCUGUGCUCGACUCCGCCUCCGCCUCCGCCUCCUCCUCCUCCCUCGUCGCUGACCUUUUGUGCGAGUGGCUGCGCUUCACCGGCGCCUCGAGGGCAUCGCGCUGCGCGCUGCCGUGUGCACUUGCUGGCGUGUGCGAGGCGGGACGCGGGGCGGCACACGAGAGCCGGGGAGGGCGUGGGGGUGGAUUGUGGGGUUCUGCUCGCGUGCGCCUUGUGCCUAUUCGCUCACUCCCCCUGCUCUUCUCCGUCCUUGUCAGGAUGCCCUGUGCUUCCUCUGCCGAAGUGCGCUCUCUCGUUGCCAAGCUGCUACCGACGCGUUUCUGUGCUCUGUGCUUGCUCAGCGCGCGUACGCUCCGACGAGGCCCUUGGCCCGCCUGGACGUGCCCUGCCAUUCUCUGUAGGCCUCGAUCGCCGUGGCGAGCGCACGCGGCUGUGCUUCGCCGUUUGCGGCGCGGGUGCUGUUCUCUCACUUGUCGUCCCCGGCUCCUACAUGUGGCCUCUGCUGUGCGACUGCAGGUGGUGGCAUACAUUUUUGUGCUGGUGUGAGGUGGGGGCGGUGUGAAUGGCGAAAGGGCGACGCGCGUGGGAGAGGAGGGGGCUGUGGGCGCCGUUAUGAGGUCGUGCACUUCAGCUCACGAGACGGGCCGGGGAUCGAGGGGAGGGCAAGGAGGAAGGGAAGGGUGCAAUAUCCGGGCGAUGCGCCGUCGCGGUUGCGACCGGCUGUCUCUUGUGCUGUGCGUGUUUUGCGUCUCUCUUUUUAUUGCUUUUGUUUGUAUCGCGUGCUGGCGUCCGUGCGCGGGCACUCAUCGCACUGCUGCUCGCCAUCUCUGUGCGUUGACCGCGCUGUCGUCCUCCUCUCACGAGCGGAGGCAACUUGUUUCGCUUUUCCUUUUCAUUGUUCGUGUUUCCAUUGCACGAGUGCUGUGGUGCCCGGUCGUGGUUUGUGCCGUCCGCCAUAUGCUCGACAGGGGGUUCUCUCGGUGAGGGUGCCCCUUUCUCCAUUUCGAGGUGUUCCUCUCUCUUUUCUUUCUUACAGUUUUUAUUACUUGGCUUGGCUGAUGCCGUUCAUUUUUUGUUUCUCAUUCUCUCAGUCUAACUCCGUCCAUCAAAGGCUCUUUCAUUCUCUGGUGCAUUGUUUGCUGCGUUGUGUCUGCUGAUCCGAUGCCUCUGUCGCUCUCUGCCUCCGGAAGCCUCAGAGCGACAUGGAAUCGCGUACGGAGCGCGCUUGCUGUAGCGGAAAGGCGAUGAGGCGGGGAUGUGCUUGUGACGGCGCCGGCGCAGCAGAGCGGAUGACGCCUGUAAAUGCAAAGGAGAAACGCAACGCUGCAGACAGGGGAGAGGGGCAGCCGUUUACUGUACGACGUGGUGGAAGCCGCGCGUCACUGGUCUUGUGCUGUGCACUCGGGUGACGCCGACGGCGCACCUGUGCUCCUCCCUCCCCACUGGGCUCGCUCGCGUAUGCCUCGUCUGUGCGUCUGCUUUCAGGACUUCCGCCUGACUCCGUGGCGUCUUUUGCUGCCUCGUUUUGCGUUGUGUCCAACGAUUGUCGACUGCUCUCCCAUCGGCUCCUCCCCGUUCUUUGGCAUCCUCACGCCCAUGUUUCGGCCUUCGAUGUGCCGCUCUUUUUCUUCGCACCGGCGAGUGCGUGUGUGCGCUGUGUUCUUCAUGCUCUGUAACAUGUUGCCCCUAUUCGUUGUUUAUUCCGGCUCCCUCCCCCACGGCUCCUCUCUCCCCUCCCCUUCGCUGGCGGCUGAAUUGCAG